CAGUCGCCGCGGGAAUACGAAGGGUGCAAGCGUUAAUCGGAAUUACUGGGCGUAAAGCGUGCGUAGGCGGUGAGUUAAGUCUGCUGUGAAAUCCCCGGGCUCAACCUGGGAAUGGCAGUGGAUACUGGCUCGCUAGAGUGUGUCAGAGGAUGGUGGAAUUCCCGGUGUAGCGGUGAAAUGUGUAGAGAUCGGGAGGAACAUCAGUGGCGAAGGCGGCCAUCUGGGACAACACUGACGCUGAGGCACGAAAGCGUGGGGAGCAAACAGGAUUAGAUACCCCCGUAGUCCCUGUCUCUUAUAC
This 301-nucleotide ribosomal RNA is filed under the name uncultured bacterium. RNAcentral describes it as "partial 16S ribosomal RNA". It matches the Rfam family "Bacterial small subunit ribosomal RNA", at positions 509 to 807 of the family's 1533-position model. The record is from RNAcentral.